RNAcentral lists this ribosomal RNA (546 nucleotides) under Prevotella sp. oral taxon 443. RNAcentral's name for it is "bacterial SSU rRNA". It matches the Rfam family "Bacterial small subunit ribosomal RNA", at positions 376 to 922 of the family's 1533-position model. Lineage: Bacteria; Pseudomonadati; Bacteroidota; Bacteroidia; Bacteroidales; Prevotellaceae. The record is from RNAcentral.
CGGAAGUCUGAACCAGCCAAGUAGCGUGCAGGAUGACGGCCUAUGGGUUGUAAACUGCUUUUAUGCGGGGAUAAAGUUAGUCACGUGUGACUAUUUGCAGGUACCGCAUGAAUAAGGACCGGCUAAUUCCGUGCCAGCAGCCGCGGUAAUACGGAAGGUCCUGGCGUUAUCCGGAUUUAUUGGGUUUAAAGGGAGCGUAGGCCGUGGAUUAAGCGUGUUGUGAAAUGUAGACGCUCAACGUCUGACUUGCAGCGCGAACUGGUUCACUUGAGUGUGCGCAACGCAGGCGGAAUUCGUGGUGUAGCGGUGAAAUGCUUAGAUAUCACGAAGAACUCCGAUUGCGAAGGCAGCUUGCGGGAGCACAACUGACGCUGAAGCUCGAAAGUGCGGGUAUCAAACAGGAUUAGAUACCCUGGUAGUCCGCACGGUAGACGAUGGAUGCCCGUUCUUCGUUCUUUUGAAUGAGGGACCAAGCGAAAGCAUUAAGCAUUCCACCUGGGGGAGUACGCCGGCAACGGUGAAACUCCAAGGAAUUGACGGGGGCCG